UACGGAGGUGGCAAGCGUUGCUCGGAAUCACUGGGCGUAAAGGGCGCGUAGGCGGGGAGGUAAGUCGGGUGUGAAAUCCCUCGGCCCAACUGAGGAACUGCGCCCGAGACUGCUUCUUUUGAGUCCCGGAGAGGAAGAUGGAAUUCCCGGUGUAGCGGUGAAAUGUGUAGAGAUCGGGAGGAACACCGGUGGCGAAGGCGGUCUUCUGGACGGUGACUGACGCUGAGGCGCGAAAGCGUGGGGAGCAAACGGG
This 253-nucleotide ribosomal RNA is filed under the name uncultured bacterium. Its description in RNAcentral is "partial 16S ribosomal RNA". It matches the Rfam family "Bacterial small subunit ribosomal RNA", at positions 524 to 776 of the family's 1533-position model. The record is from RNAcentral.